CACUGGGACUGAGACACGGCCCAGACUGCUACGGGAGGCAGCAGUGGGGAAUCUUAGACAAUGGGCGCAAGCCUGAUCUAGCCAUGCCGCGUGAGUGAUGAAGGCCUUAGGGUCGUAAAGCUCUUUCGCCAGGGAUGAUAAUGACAGUACCUGGUAAAGAAACCCCGGCUAACUCCGUGCCAGCAGCCGCGGUAAUACGGAGGGGGUUAGCGUUGUUCGGAAUUACUGGGCGUAAAGCGCACGUAGGCGGAUCAGAAAGU
RNAcentral lists this ribosomal RNA (260 nucleotides) under Heterosigma akashiwo. RNAcentral's name for it is "partial Bacterial small subunit ribosomal RNA". It matches the Rfam family "Bacterial small subunit ribosomal RNA", at positions 311 to 588 of the family's 1533-position model. The record is from RNAcentral. Lineage: Eukaryota; Raphidophyceae; Chattonellales; Chattonellaceae.